GUAUACAUGUACACACAUGCACAUCUGUAAUUACAUAAUUAUAAAUAAUUUUAGAUAGACAGCUUCAUAAAUACCUGUGUACAUAAGUAUAUCUCUAUAAUUAUGAAACAGAAAGAAAUCUCUGUCUUUAACCCUUUACAACAAAAUUUCUUAUUGAAACCAAAUUCUAUUUCAUGUAGUUCUUCAUUCGGAGCAAACGUACUACCGAGUGAGAAACAGCAUUUGACUUCCAGUUUCUGUAUUUCAGAUGACAGUAUAAACAUAUAGUCAGUUUGACAAUAAUUGCAGUAAUCUUCCUUUGAGACAUUGCAGCAAAUCGGAUCUGCUUGUAUAGUUGUGAUUAUUAUGCAAAAAGGUUAACUAUCAAACUCCAAUUACUCCUACAUAACUAUGUAUUUCUGUAUAUAUAUUUCUGUUUACCCAGUUGCAAAUGAAUCGUUGCAAUCAGGGUAUUUUGUGUGAUCUUAAAUUAGUCUGUCCUCAUUAUUUAAAAUGUUGGGGCUAUAGUUUUAUGACACAAACUGUCCUCUACUUUGCCUUGGCAGGUUCAGUUCAUUAAAACCGUGUUAUCAUCAUGACCUAUUCAAGUCAAUAAUCCUUGGUACCAGUAAAACAGAGUACUCAUCUCUCACCCUCAGCAGUACUGCAAUGAUUAUUUAUGACUAAUCAGGCUGCUCUGCAGAAGACAUAUUCAUGCCAAUUACAUGCUUCCCAUUGCGUGAAAUGCUUAAUUAAAGUUUCCUCUAUAAAUAUUAACAUGAUUGAAGUCAUCUUGCUAGCAGCCACACAGAGUCAUGCCAAGACCUAUGUAUGUCCUGGGAGGUUACUGAAACACAUUUUUCUCCAACUCAGUUUGCAUUAAGCCAUUCUGUACGCCAUGAAUUCAAAGAUAAAAGGUAAGUCUAAAAUCCCUCAUACGUAGUAAAUAGAAUUUUGAAGUACUUGUAGGUGGUGCAGCAUAAUCUCUGGCUUUCUUGGAGUUUGUUGCUAGUUCUCCUGUGCUUCCCUAUAAUUUAAGGAUUCCAUGUUUUACUGUUGUUAAUAUUACAGCUUGGCUGAUAGAAAAGCUAUUGGCAAUUUGCAUUCAAUUAUACUAACAAUUAUGAUCAAUAUAUGUGUAAGUACGGUUAAUCUCAUACCUAUGGAGUCAGGAGUGACACUGUGCAGGUGAAACUGAAUCUCGGUUGUAACGCACUCUAGAAGUGGACAGCAUUUGUGAAGGUGGGCUAAUCCAGACUGCGCAGUGGACAUCAUCUCUUCCGCAGAUCCCUAGGAAACAGUUCCUUUCAAGUGGAAGGACUACAUUUUUCACCGGCAGGAUCUUAUGAGGGAUGACAUUUCAACAUCCUUUUUCAUGGCCCUUGGCAGGAAUAAGGUGGCAUCUCAUUAAGAUAAGUAGAAUAUGCAGCAGGGAGCAGAUUAUGGUCAUUUCUGGGAAGCUGCAGGUAUGGAGAAGGUGUUCUAAGUUUUUCUACGCUUCUUGCUAUUGAGAAGCUGAAAGGAGUGGAACUUGGCUUUUUUUACCUUUCCCUUCCACCCUGACGAAAAAGCACACCUAUCUUAAUUAUGUGCAUACAUUACUGGUGAUUUUUAUAAUGUUUUUAAUAAUAUUUUACAAUAUCAGGAAAAACCACAGAUUAAACAUGAAGACAGAUGAAGGAACUGGGUAUCUGAAAACAACACAUGGAGCCAGACAUUCAUUGUCUUUCUGUUGUGAGGUCUGGAAUAGUGGUUCUCCCAGGUUAUUUACAUGACAUUGUUUAGAAAACAAAUAAGGAAAAGAACUGGAGUGAUGUACUGGCCAUUGAAAAUCAAUAGAGAUCUGAAGUUUGGAGUAAACAGAUCAGAACUUCUAAGGAAUGGGCAUCAAAUAUUAGAGAGUAUCAAAUUAAAGUUACAGUAGUGGUUAGACAUAUUUGACCUGUGAGCAGUGUGGUAAUUGUUUGCAAUAUGGUACUUUUUAAAAGGGAAACAAAACCAGGAUUCUUUUUUAUGCAGAACAAACACAGGGUACAGAGGAAUUGCUUCCUACUGUCUUCUUUUCAAGGUAUAUAAAGGAAGAGACACUUGCAAAUAAUAAAUUUGACCUCUUUUUAUCCUUCUAUAGGGAGAAACCAAGAACUUAUGAAUUCUUGCUGUUUGGUACCUGCAGAGGCACUGAACUGUAUUGUUCAGGUUAUUGUAGCAAUAGCAUGGAUUGUCAUUAUGUACAAAAUAUGAAGCACUUUUUCAUCCUUAUCCUCUUCCUUCACAAAUAUAUAUAUUUAAACAUUGUGCAUUCACAAUAUAUCUUUAAGAGAUGUUGUCUUGAAAAGAAUGGAAAUGACAGAUAAUGCAAAACCUCUUUAUAAAAGCAGAUGCAAAUUUUUCUUCAUAAUACUUGAGAAUGUUCUUCUCUAGCUGAAAGAUAUGAGGCCUGUGAAUACAAAAUGACCUUUUUUUAUGAACCUUUACAGUGGGGAUUUGAAACCUAAGAUAAAAAUGGUUCAUUCCGAUUCUUCAUGUUAGAGAUAAUCUUCACAGAGUUAUAGUUUACUUUUUACUUCUAAGGUAGAAGCUGUAUGCUUUCCCUUGGCGGGGGGGAAAAAAAAUAUAGCAGCCACUUAAUAGUUUCCACUUACACCAGUCUAGAAGUGUGGAUCUGUCUCAAUCAAUAUUUUCCCCACAAGCAACCAUGACAGGGGUUACUCUGGGUAUAAACAUAUACUAUAUUUUUCUAUUUAUUAUGUAGGGAAAAACAAGGCAUGAUAAUAUUGCUUACCUGCUUUGACAGAAAGCAGCUGUCCCUAGAAAGGUAACAACCAUUCUGAUUGCAGUAAUUAAUUUCAUCUUGAUAGAUCCAGUAUUUGAAUUUCAUUAGACUAUGCAUUAUGUAUGGUCCAGAAUACUGUAAAAAUUAAAUGGGCAGAGAAUGUGAUUUUUUGAAAUAAAUGUGUCUGUAUACCUAUUUAUGUCAAGAAGUCAUGCAGGAAACAAAAUGAUAAAAUUGUUUUCCGACAUGAGUACAAAGAAAAUGUAUUAGUAUUUUUACCUUUAAUUUUUUUUUAUUCUUUUACUGAAGGAAAGCAUUUUCCAUGCUGAAUGUAGAUAUUCCUGAUUUAUCCUUCUGAUAUUAAAUUGAAAUAAUAUAAUGUUCUCUGAGAUGAAAGACUACAAUGGAAUAGAAUAGUUUUGUACCUAACAGCAAAUAAUCACAAUUCAGCUUGUAAAAAAUUUCGAUAUAUCUUUGCCUAAAUUUUUAAUUAUUAAUGAAACACACAAAUAGUUGAAAAAGCCAGCUAGCCAAGCAUCUAUGCCAGUGAGAUUUUUGUCUGUAUAUUUUUACAAGAUAUCAUACUAUCAGAAACACUUUCACUUGGCUCUAAUAAGUGCUUUAAUAGCAGAUGUAGUUCUUAUUAUCAGACAGAACAGGUGGCAGUUAAUUCAAGGGAGUUAUGAGAGUAAGAGAUCUCUCUCUGGGAUAAAAUAGUGUAUAUAGGGGAAAGACAGGUUAAGGCUAUGUCUCCAUUUGCAAAUAGUGUAGCUUAAUAGAAGUGGACUGUACAGAGAAACAGUUGGCCCUGAGGACUUGUUAGAUGUAUUAUAAUCAUCUUAGAGGUGUUAUGAAAUAGAUCUAGUCUGGUAUGCUUCUAGACUCUAUUUCCUAGUUUAGUUUUAUACAAAAGGUGUGUGAUGAGGGCACCUUCAGGCCACUUCACAAUGCCAACCAAAGUGGUAAGAACAAUGUUUACUUCCAAAGUGCAGUCUUCAUCUUCUCUAAAAUGCUAGUGUAGACACACCUUCUGUUUCAGUUUUCAGAGUGUGCUGUCUAGACCUGAUUAUUGAUGCUCUGUAAAACUGGGACACAUGGAUGUUAAUUUACCAGAAGAAACUGCUAAUCAUAUAAUAUUUUUAUGAGAAGGCAAAGAAAACCCAAUAAAAGUAAAGGUUCAAUUUUUCUCUAGAAAACGUGACUUUAUUGGGUAACUUCCAAAAACAUAAAAUAAACUGAAGAAAUUAACUCUGCUAUAAAAAAAAAUCUUGAACUGUGAUUAUCUUUAGUUUACAUAUUUAAUUUCAGUAUGCAAUCAUUCAGGUCUUUGCCUAUACUUGUGGAUCUAACUAGGAUCUAUGGGUCCAGACAAAAAGAUGUGAAAGUGUCUUACGCUGUGGUUGAUAAUGAUAUCUUUCAAAGUAGAUGCUAUGGCUGUUCAACACAAGACUGUAUUUGAGAAUUCACCUUCCUUCAGUGGGUUUUCUGGAUGACAACUCAUCUGGACCUCAUUAGGUUUAUGGGAUCAAGUUUUCAUUCUCUGUAUCUACAGCAAAAUAAGAAAAUCUAUAGGUCUUGCAGUACCUGAAGAUCUCUCAGGAAAAACAGAACUUGACUGGCAUCUCACUGAAAGUGGAUCCUAGAGACAAUGCAUGGCAUGCCAAUGCUGAAGUUCAAAUAGGGGAUAAUGCCCUGGAAGACAUUAGUUUAGAUGAGAAAAGUUGUGUUUUGACUUGUAAACAGCUGAAUGAUGGCUGCAUCUUAAUGACAUGCACUAACCAAAAUGAACCGACUGUCCAAGACUUGCAACUGAGCAAUGUUGUAUGUAUCCUCCUAGAGACAUUUUCUGGCACUUGCCAGAAGGCAGAUGAUGUGGGAUACACUGACAUCAGUGACAACAGAAAGACCAGGAAGAAGGCAAAAGCCUACCCAAACAAAAAAGAGUGAGCCUACCCUGUUGUUAUAUUGGAAACUUGCCUUUCUUCAACAUUCAGCAUAAAGAACCUGCUCUUCAUUGUCAUCUAAGCAGGAAACAAGGACUAAGCUUGCUGGCGUGUUUCUCACUUCUUCAUUAAAAAUUUACUGUGUUUAACACUCAUAUAAGGAGUUUGGGGUUUUUUUACAGGUCUUUAAAAGUAAUACACUCAUGUUGUUGGUAUAAAUAACAACAAAAUGUGGUGUUUUAACUACAGUGUAGAUGAACCUAUGGGUCAGUAAAUGCUUUUAUGUUUACUUUUCCUUUUGAGAACUAGAAAUGCUGAUGAAAAAAGUUGGGGCUUUUUUUUUAUGUUACCACACUUAAGUCUCCUUAUGCUAAUUGAUGCCUGGACAAACAUUCCCAUUGUCACCUGUCAAAAUGGACAAAAUCAAGUAGAAUGUAUCUUGGGGAAAAAGCUGACAAAUAUUUUUAAGCCUACAUUUAUUAUUCUAACAUUAAGAUUGCAUGCACCUUUUACUGUCUACUGGGUACAUUACUUCUAUGUCUGAGGACAAGUUUAAUUUUUGUGUGUGCUGUGUUAGCUAUAGAGAAGCUUAAAUGACAAAGUGGCAAAUAUUCCAGUUUAUAUUCUGGAAGAGAGAUGUGUGGGUGCUGAACUGUAUUUCUGUGAUUUGCAGAUGGUUUGGCAUAAACUCUAUUCUUGCUGUUUGUCCAAAGCCUGGUUUUAAGCACAAGGGUAUAAAUUUUAUUUAUUCUCUUCAUUGUUUAGAACAUUUCAGCAAAACAGUGAAUUGUGGGCCAGAUAUGCAGCUGGUGGUAGAUGGAAAAAGUCCACUAACUUCAGUGAAGAUACAUUUGUCCAUAUUGUCUGAAGCUGUGUUACAAUGCAUUUAUAAACACAAAUAGACAAAGGCUUGAAAUGAAGUCAAAGAAAUACCAAAAUUCUCAUGGUUCUACUUUUCAACUUACCUAUAUGAAAUUGGCAGUCAAAUCCCCUGUUAAGUAACUGAGUGCUAAUUUGAAAUUCUAAAUGUCUGAGUAAAUGAAUAAAUAUAGAUUUAAUCCUUUAACUUAAUAAAUUGAGGCUUCUGUUACAUUUUUCAUUCUAGUUGUGCGCAUAAUGAAAUUAGAAUAGAGAAACCUACUAAACAGUGUUUGUGGUGAACUACAGACAGAUAACAGGAAAUUUAUGUCUACAUUAGAGGAUUCACUUUCACCUAGACUUGUGUGGAGGAGUCAGUAAUUCCCCCAGAUACAUGCAGUUGAAAUUUUUCCAGGUAAGCUUGAAUAAUUCACACUUCAUUGCCUCACUCAAAGUAAGACUUUUCCUGAAAAAAAUCCAGUUUCUUUCUUUGAAUCCUAUGAAAAAAUAAGGUUCACCAGUGAAGCUCAGAGCAGAGUGCUUUUGAUGCAGCAGUUUUACCAUCUAACCACUUCAAAUUUGGAAAUACCCUGAUAGUACCUUGGCAAUUUCAGUAUUCUACAGUCUUCAAAAUGAUGUUUUGCUAUUUGCGUAACUUUAAGACUGCUUUUAAUAAUGCAGAAUGCCUCCCAUUAACUCAAACAUUCAUGAGGAGGAGAAGGACUUUCAGUGCAGGGAGUUUGAUGUUAGGUGAGACUUCAUCAAUCCUUUCUUCCUGUCUGGGAUUUAAAUUGUUAAGUUGUUUAGUUUGAGUACUUCCCUCUUCAGAAUCCAGG
Molecule: long non-coding RNA, 6389 nt
Organism: Tyto alba (common barn owl)
Lineage: Eukaryota; Metazoa; Chordata; Aves; Strigiformes; Tytonidae
Exons: 3
Source: RefSeq, a predicted model, not a curated record